RNAcentral lists this long non-coding RNA (1110 nucleotides) under Nicotiana tabacum (common tobacco). RNAcentral describes it as "long non-coding RNA (NTAB_LNC010088)". Lineage: Eukaryota; Viridiplantae; Streptophyta; Magnoliopsida; Solanales; Solanaceae. The record is from RNAcentral.
AGCCCUCGACAUAAUUCUAGAAGUUAUAUUCUUUCAUCUCUAUCUUGUUCGUUCCAACCAACAACAGAGAAAUAUGAUUCCUUCAUAAGUAUGGAUUGCUCUUUGAGUUCUCAUCAUCUUUUCAUCUGUGUGUUGUAAAUUCAGGUUAGUAUUUGUAUCAAUUUUUUGCCCUAAUCUUCUUCAGAUUCUCUUCAAAUUUUCCAAUUUCAUGGCUUAAUUCAUGAUUUUUUUUCUUUAUUAUACUGUCUAUCUCUCUCUUUAAUGUUCUUCGGCGUUCAUUUCUUCCUUUGGAUCUCACUGUUAUUUGUUUUGUCAUCUGUGUGUCCUAUGUUGUUUUCUACGCUUUAUCAAUAUGAUGAAAUUAUUGAUCACCGAUUUACUGGAGAAUUUCACUGAUUAAGUGAUUUUCAGUUUGAUCAAAUAAAAAGUAAAUAAAAAUCACCAUAGAGCUUAGUUCUCAGAUGAUAAAUAUGAAUAUAUGCCUUUUACGACGGCAAAAUAUGCUACAAGGAUAAAUCAGUCCGCUAAAGGAUGGCCUCUUAUACAUGAUUUGUUUGUUCAAUGGGAUGCAUUAGCAAUUGAUAAUAGGAUCAAGGCUCUUUAGUUCUAAUGCUUCAUUGGUUUGUUUAUAUAAGACCACAUCUUACUAGAAUUGUCCAUUUGACUAAUUAUGUAGAGUUCUGAAAGACUUUUUGAUUUCUAUAAUCUUAUGUUGAUUUGCAUUGUACUCAGGAGUAUGUUUAUAUUUCUCGGCAUUAAAAGCAUUUUUUAGUACAAAUGAAUAGUAUUUCUAUUUAAAUUUAAACUUUAGUAUAAGUCUAUUAGUUUAUUGAUUUUUAUAUAAAUCUGAUGUAAAGAGCAACCUUAUGACUUGAGUUAUCUCUUGAUGGAGGAAUAUUGCUUCAGAUACAUUGCUGCGAGUUGCUUCUCUUUGUUUUUUAGUACCAUCAUGGGGACGUGGUUGACGCUGAAUAAUUUUAGCUGAAGAACUAGAAUUUUUCUUACUAAAAAUGUAGGGAAUCAACUACCAUUUGUUUUGAAGAAUGAGUAACUCUUGAUAAGGUACCACUAAUUUUACUAUACAUGUACUUUAUCAAAAAGAAAUUAAUA